UGUUGGUGGGGGGCUUGGUAUCUUCCCUACCUUGGUAUCUUCCCUACCUUCGAAUUUCAAGUCUCUGCUAGGCUAGGGGCUUUCUCUCCCUCUGAAACCUAUGAUUAUCUUCAGUUGACUUGUAAAUUUCUGCUAGGAUAUUUUUUUUGGCAAAAGAAAAAAAUCGUUUUUCCAACAUUUCCAUUAUUUAAAAUUUUAGUAUUUAAUAGGAUUGUUCUUAAUUCCUAAUGGCUUCCUCUAUUUAUUUCAGUUAGCAUUUUAAUUAAUAAAAACAACGAUGUAAGUUACUGGGCCUACAAUUCUGUUAUCAGUAAGUUCAGAGUUGAGGUUCUGCAUAUUUUAGUUUUGAUGCUGACGCACUCAGUUCUGGAGCUGUAUUCAUCAUCAGUAAACAGUGUGUGCCAGGAAACUACUGGGGAAACUUCUGCGAAGGGAUCUAAAUGACUUACUAGGAGAAGUCACUUCUCCACUUUCUCACUUCUUUACAUGUCCUGUGUUUGCAGCAUGACUCUUUUUUAAUAUGGUGUCACCCACUAGACUCAGUGUAGUGAGGAUAUUCUUGCUUCUGUCAAAAACUCCCUGACCAAGGCCACUUAUAAAAGAAAGUGUUUAAUCGAGUUUACGGUUAUAGAAGAAAGCACAGAAUACGCUUCACCUUUCCAAAAGGUGGCUCUGCCCAAGCCUGACAAAUACAGAAGAGGAGGCUCGCAGCCAACCAUUGGACGGUUCUGAUUUUUUAAAUACAUGUUCAUGGACAAAUACUCUCAUAUAAAUACCCCCUCCCUACUCCAUCCCCACAGAUACUCAUGUACAUUCACUAUACACAUUGAAAGAAUGAAUAAAUAAACUCUCUUCCUGC
RNAcentral lists this long non-coding RNA (859 nucleotides) under Mus spretus (western wild mouse). Its description in RNAcentral is "predicted gene 28054 (ENSMSPG00010003924.1)". Lineage: Eukaryota; Metazoa; Chordata; Mammalia; Rodentia; Muridae. The record is from RNAcentral.